UCCUGGUGGCUCAGACCGUAAAGUAUCUGCCUACAAUGCACAAGACCCAGGUUCAAUCCCUGGGUCAGGAA
Molecule: transfer RNA, 71 nt
Filed under: Ovis aries (sheep)
Lineage: Eukaryota; Metazoa; Chordata; Mammalia; Artiodactyla; Bovidae
Rfam family: tRNA
About the family: Transfer RNA (tRNA) molecules are approximately 80 nucleotides in length. Their secondary structure includes four short double-helical elements and three loops (D, anti-codon, and T loops). Further hydrogen bonds mediate the characteristic L-shaped molecular structure. tRNAs have two regions of fundamental functional importance: the anti-codon, which is responsible for specific mRNA codon recognition, and the 3' end, to which the tRNAs corresponding amino acid is attached (by aminoacyl-tRNA synthetases). tRNAs cope with the degeneracy of the genetic code in two manners: having more than one tRNA (with a specific anti-codon) for a particular amino acid; and 'wobble' base-pairing, i.e. permitting non-standard base-pairing at the 3rd anti-codon position.
Source: Rfam by way of RNAcentral